GACGAACGCUGGCGGCGUGCUUAACACAUGCAAGUCGAACGGAAAGGCCCUGCUUUUGUGGGGUGCUCGAGUGGCGAACGGGUGAGUAACACGUGAGUAACCUGCCCUUGACUUUGGGAUAACUUCAGGAAACUGGGGCUAAUACCGGAUAGGAGCUCCUGCUGCAUGGUGGGGGUUGGAAAGUUUCGGCGGUUGGGGAUGGACUCGCGGCUUAUCAGCUUGUUGGUGGGGUAGUGGCUUACCAGGGCUUUGACGGGUAGCCGGCCUGAGAGGGUGACCGGCCACAUGGGGACUGAGAUACGGCCCAGACUCCUACGGGAGGCAGCAGUGGGGAAUAUUGUACAGUGGGCGGAAGCCUGAUGCAGCAACGCCGCGUGCGGGAUGACGGCCUUCGGGUUGUAAACCGCUUUCGCCUGUGACGAAGCGUGAGUGACGGUAAUGGGUAAAGAAGCACCGGCUAACUACGUG
RNAcentral lists this ribosomal RNA (468 nucleotides) under uncultured bacterium. Its description in RNAcentral is "partial 16S ribosomal RNA". It matches the Rfam family "Bacterial small subunit ribosomal RNA", at positions 28 to 507 of the family's 1533-position model. The record is from RNAcentral.